AAAGAACAGUUAAUAAUCUAAGAGGAAAGAAAGAGUCUUUAAGCCAGACACCUGUAAUUAAAAUUAGAUCGUUUUUAUUUUCUGGUUUGGUUGAAGACCGGCAAGCACUCAGAUCAGGAGUGCCUGCCUUCAGCUAGGCAUUACUAGUUGAUUUACCAUAUCUGAUGACACAGACAAGCAGGAAGAUUUCGUUUCUGGGACUACCUAUCUUUUCAAGUCUAUGAGAGUCUUCUCUGCUACAUUCAAAUAAUAGGAAACAUAGUAGCAGCUAUGUUAAGUAGUUGCUAGACAACAAACUCAUGGUGAGCAUUAAAAUGUUUGCCAUAUGAGCCCAUCAAAACUUUUCAAAGCUAUAUGGAUUUCUUACCUCCAUGUUACAGAUUAGAGUAUCAGGGCAUUAGAAAAUCAGGGUGCAGGAGGUUUUAUUAUUUUCCCAAGAUAGCCCAGCUAUUAAAAGCUGAAGUGAUUCAAAUGUAGCCUGUACCUGUAAAGUCAGCUAAAUACCCUCUUUAGAGAAGAGCUUGCACAUCUAUAACGUUCCUUUUCAACAGCCCUUACAUUUAGAUGGUAAGCCAAGACAAUAAAUAAUAUGAUCUGUUAUCGAUGGAUUCCAUAUUCUCUAGUUUGACUACCUUAGGACAGAAAAGAACAAUUAACUGUACUGAAUAUGUUCAGAUUUCUCAUGCCAGUAUUCCCUAGGCAAUACAGCAUAACAUAAAGUUUACCUUGUGUUGGCUAUUGCAAGUAACCAAACAGUGGUUUGAUGUAUAUAUGAGGAUAUGGGUAGAUUAUUUCUAUUAUAAAAUUCUUGAGCAUCCUUGGAAUUUGGUGUCCAAAGAGGGUCCUGGAAGUAAUUCUUGGUGGAAACUGGGGGAUGACUCGAUCCAGACCCACUUUUUUUUUUUUUAUGGUCAGACCAGUACCAUGGUCUAGUUUUAGCAGAUGUUGAUGUUUUGCUUGAGUUUAUAGACUUCAAUGUCAGAAUCUUAAAAUUUUGCUUUUGAGUAUUCAAAUAUUAUUAUCAAGAUGCAUAAAUGUAUCACAUCUUAUACAGAUAUAGGAGAAGGGAAACAAAUACUUUAAAAGGAGGUCUCCUUUGACCCAGUUUUCUUUAAGUGGAAGGGAAGGUCCUCCUGUAAUACCUCAGUAACCUCAUUUACUAUGACCCCAAGUCAGCUUAAUUGGACCCAGAGAUUCCCUAUGAUCUCCACUCCCUGAAUACCCUGAAUAAAGGCAGAUCUGAGAAUGGAGCCCUUUCCCGCAUCUGAGUCCUGGAACAGCAAACAGUAAUGGGACACCAGUAAUGUAAUCAUUCAUGUCAAGUGGGCUUUUAAAUAGAGGAAUAUGAUCUACUAUUAGAGACUGUUGUGACAAAAAAAAAAAAAAUUCUUGAAAACUCAAGUUGGGCAUAGUGGUGCACACUUUUAAUUCCAGCAUUUGGGAGUCAGAGAAAGGGGGAUCUCUGUAAGUUCAAGGCCAAUCUGGUCUACAGAGUGAGUUCCAGGACAGCCAGAAUUACAUGAGACCCUGUACAAAAACAAAACAAAAAACAGUGAAGAAAUUAUUUCCACCUUGUAAACACAGAAAUCAUUAAUCGCUAUGAUAAAAGAUUCCUGUAUUUUCACAAAAGCAGAUCUGGGGAGGUGACUUAGUAGGUAAAAUGCUUAUUCAGCAAACAGAAGAACCUGACCGCCAUCCCCAGACCCACAGACAAGGCCCGGUGUAGUGCAUGUAAUCCCACUGCCGGGAGGCAGACAUGGAUCUCUGGUGCGCUCAGGCCAGCCACCCUAACCAAAUCAGCAAGUUCCAUGUAGAAAGCUGAGACCCCGUCUCGAAAGAUCUCUGGCCUCACAUCCACGCUUACACAUGCAUACAUGCACUUUCACACACACAUGCACACACACACACACACACACACACACACACACACACACACAGUGGAUAUGAUUAUAUCUAAGAUGCCUGGACACUUAUUUGGAAUAGGUUUCUAUGACCUUAUUACAAUUUUUGUGCUUGAGUUAGUCGAUAUAAUUGAGACACAAACAUGAAAUAGCAUACACAGAACAUUUGCAAGAGAAAAAAAACAUUCAGGAGUUAACUAUUAAAUAUUUAAGAGGACGUAGAGAACAAGCUUAAAGGUCAUGAUUAAAAUCCUUCUGGGAAAACUGUUGUGAUAUUUGGUGAGAUUAAAAAUCACAUUACUGAAAUAUAGCCCGCAGCAUUCAGCACAUUCAGCUAGCAUUAAACUGCUAGCCUGUGAAAUCAGUGUUGUGCAUUGGAUUCUAAAUGUGAUACACUCUGCAAGGCUAAGUUGCAAUGUGAGUCUUCGUUAUGGAUGCAUCCUGGGAAGGCACUGUGCUACUAAAAUGCGUUCUUUUAAAAAAUUAUUUAUUCACUUUAUAUCCCCUAAAAUGCAUUCAUAUUCAUUAGUAUUUCUCUUUAAUUUUAAGGUACACUGAGCUAAACCCCUACUGAUGAGGUCUGCAUGAUUUCAUUCCAUACUCAAACCCAUCAUGUACGUAUUGUUAAGGCUGUCAUCUUAAACAGGGAGGAUGGGGGUCAGAGAGGCUCAGGAUUUUGCCCAUGUCCUAAAGCUGGGUCCCACAGCCUGUCUGGCCCCAUUUUGUGAACCCUGACAUUGUACUGCUUCCCAUAGGUAAAGAAUGCUUUCCACCUCUGUCCUAACUACACCAGAUAGAUUUGUAUCUUAAAACUUGACCUCCUGCUGGGGUAGGUGGUGCAUGCCUUUAAUCCCAGCACUUGGGAGGUAGAGGCAGGCAGAUCUCUGAGUUUGAGGCCAGCCUGGUCCACAAUGUUAGUCCAGGAUAGCCAGGGCUACACAGAGAAACUCUUGUCUUGAAAAAACAAAACAAAACAAAAAAAACAAAACAACAAAAAUGUGACCUCCCAUAUGCAGACAUACUUGGGGGAAGGACAAAGGUCACUGUGUAACCCUAGUUGGCCUCUAAUUCAUGGUCCUCUUGCUCCAGGCCUCAAAUUCUAGUAUUGUAACAUGCACCACAACAGCUUGCUUAGGUAAACCUUUAAUAAAUGACAUUUCUAUCUCUCAGAUUUAGCUCCCUUUAGAAGUGAAUCAUGAGGGAAAAUUUGGAAAUACAGCCUCUUCUGACAUAAAUAGAACCUUUUUGUUUGUUUGUUUUUGGAGACUGGGUUUCUCUGUGUGGCCCUGGCUGUCCUAGAACUCCCUCUGUACAUCAGGCUGGCCUUGAACUCCUGCCUCUGCCACCACUGCCCAACAGAACCUUUUAAUUUGCAGAUGGAAUUCCAGUUCUGACUGUUGUUAUCUCAGUCAUUGCAAUAUAAACUAUGAGUGACUGAAUUGAAACCACCAGGCUAGCUCAGGCCACCUGCUGGAUUUUUAUGCAGCUCAAAGUGCUAAGGAUGCUUUUCCAAAAUACUGUCUUAGGCAGCUGAAAAUAUCAAAAUAUAAACCAUAACUUGUGAUGUAGAAAUCAAAUUGAUCAAUAGUGAAUGGUUUGUGAACUGUGGACUUGGAGUGACGCGUCAGUACAUACUUAUUGUAAGAAACGGCACCACUCUGGUCGGGAUGUUAAAGUUAGGAGGCUGUGUGUGGAGAUGGGAGAAUGUGGGCUUCCUCUAUGGGUUAAUAGUUAGGAGCAUAUGGGAUACCUCUAGAUGUCCUGCUUCGUGUUGUCAUGAACCUAGAGCAGCUCUAAAAGUUAGAGGCUAUGAAAUAUACAGACCAAGUUCAGUGUCCAUGGGUCAGGUUUAUUAGUGCGUGGCUGUACCCCUUCAUUUAGGUUUUGCCCAGGGCUGUUUUUACAUUGCAAGAGUUGAGCGGCUGAGAGCUGAAAGGCCUUCCGUCUUUACUCCUCGGGGAGAAGCUUUCUGACUGUUGAUUCUGUUGCAUCUGGCACUGACCACGCUACUGGAUGAGAGUGUUAUCCUCAGAGUUAAGCUAACAAAAUUCUUCUCCUCUUUUACAUUUAGUAGUUGUGAGACAUUUAGCAAGUGCUUAAUCUUUUUAGCCCUUGUUUACUGUCUUUUGACUGGGAUGGUAAGCUCUGUAGGAUACUUACAGGAUCAGUUUAAGGGUAAAAAGAACUAAGGACACACCAAACAGGUCAGUGAUAAUUCAUUUAGAUUUUGAAGUUCUGCCUUUCUCUUCUGCCUUCACUUUAGGAUCUGGCUGUGUUUUCCUCAGUUAUAUGCUUUAUUUAUGUGAAAGGUGAAUGAACAACAAGAAAUAAAAAGGAGGGCAUGAUUGUUCUUAAGGGGUUGAGGUCUUUAUUAUAGAUCUGAGGGAGAAUACAAACAGACACAGGCAGAGGCAUCUGAGAGAGUCCAGAGUAGACAUAGUCAGCAGACUGAGUUGGGCCAUGUGAGGAGAAGAGAGAGGGAGAAAGAGAAACCAGGAGCAGCAGUCAAGUGGCCAAGAGGCCAAAAGGGAUAAAAGGGCCAGUGUAGCCAAAAUGGCUGGGUUAAAUAAAGAAGAGCAGCUGGGGGAUUGGCAAGCCCAGCCCAGUCUCAGGCUGGAGAAGUCUAGGGUAGGAGGCGGGUCUCUCUCUCUCUCACACACAAACACAUACAACAACGGCCAGGAGGACCUUGUAUCAGAUAGGAACUGAGGGAUGCUGGGAAAACCUGGUAGCCGUCAUCCACCUUAAUAUGUUUUUCAGCACCUCAGCCAUUUGUCCUGGUUUGAGAGCUAGCAAAGGGUUCUUUUGUCUUCUCAGAAGUCAUCUCCUUACCCUGACUUAACAGGGCGUGGUUAUUUUGUUCCCUGUUUCUGUCUUACUAUCAAACUUGUCUAUCCCUGAUCCAGGGUACAGGUGCCUGUAGCGGCCUCUGCCCCAGUGAAAAGUGAGAAAGUCCUUGCCUCAGCACAGAAAGCAAGAACCAGAUACCAGGUUUCUGGCCAAUACCUGUGCACUUCCAAGCAUUGCUUCAGACUUUCCUGCCAUUCCCUAACUCAAAUGUAUUAACUAUGGAUGAUGCAUUGCCGUUUAAGCUUAAGACCCAAGAAAUCACUGGAUUCUUUCCUAAAACUGUAGUUGAAGCAUUGUUCUCAAGAUUUCAAAGAUUCUUAUUCUACAAGAAAAAAUAUUAUCUUUAUUAGCCAAGACAUUCUGGAGUGGUGAGACUUUCAAAGGAAGGAGUUAUAUAAUCCACACGAUAAGCUCUGUUAUUGUAGUGAAAAAAUGUUUUGAUUUAGCAAUGAAGCUGCUGUGUGUGCUGUAUGUUUUUUUGGAUUAUAGACUCUCCAGUGUUGCAGCCCAAGACAACGGGCCUUUUAAGUCCUUGGACUGUUAAGGUUAUUUGACUCCAAUAAGUGUUCAUUUUGGAUAGUUUUGUUUUUCUGGAGUCACUUUUGUGAAGGAGGAAUAGUACCAAUUAGAUGACAGAGAAGUUUGGGGAACGGAAUAAAUUGUAGAAAUAACUGAGUAAGUGCUUUUCUUUCCUUCCUUGUCAUUCCAUAAAAUGUGUUUGCAAACCAUUUCUACUUCAUCUCAGUCCUGGAAGGUAAAGAUUCCCUUUUCACACGCUGGAAUUCAGGAGCUCAGCUUAUCAGUGUCAAGGCCAAGGCCAGCUACCUCCUUGGCCUCCAGUAGACCGGGAGCAGUGGGAGCGGUCACUGUGUUGCUGAGUGUGUGUCCUUGGAAGCUAAAGCAAGGCAACGUCUCUCAGAAAUUCAGGCUGGAGGAGGACUCUCAAACAGUUCUUAACCUCUAGGUGUCACGUUCUUAUUCACUGCCAGAUUUUCAGAACUUGGGUGGAAAUCUCACAAAUAAGAUGAGGGAGGACCAGCGAGAGGCAAGUGCAAUGUGGAAGGAAUUGAAGCUGGCACAUCACUUUUCAAGUGAUGCCAGGUGUCAACGCAUCCUAAGUCUUUGGUCCCAUUUGCCAAACCGUGAGAAAGUUUGGCCAUUAAAAAAAUAAAACAAAACAAAAAGCAAGCUGAAUAUGUUAUACAGAAGGUAUGGCCAGUUAUCUGUCUCAGAUGAAGAUUAUCGAUGGAGUGGAAAAGUUAACAUUAUCCUGGUAAAUGUUUACUGGGUUCCUUCGAAAUCCAUGUUGGAGUUUAACUAUCCAGUCUUCUUUACGUGGAUGAGGGCCCACCAAAUGGUUUCCCUGUGUGUCUAAAGCAAGACAUACUUUCUAGGGCUUGCCUUGGUAUUUAUCGUCUUCCUCACCCCUUCAUGGCCUUUCAUGUCAGCGGAGGUGUCUGUGAGGGGUUGGACUAUACAGCGGUCCCAGUUCACUUCCUCCCUGCCCCACCAGAGUACUGAAGACGUUGAGAAAUUCAGUUUGGGUCUGGAGGGAGUACAGCUGUACCCGGAGCCAGCACAGCUGUACCCGGAGCCAGCAGCAGCAGAGGACCUCAAGAUGGAGCCUGGGAACAUGGGUAGACAUAUGGAGAUGACGCCUGGGGAUGCGACCAGAAGCCUGGGGAGAGGAAGCUGUCCCCCAGGGCCAGUUCCUGAGGGUGUGAUCCGAAUCUACAGCAUGAGGUUCUGCCCCUACUCGCACAGGGCACGCCUGGUGCUCAAGGCCAAAGGCAUCAGGCACGAAGUUGUCAACAUUAACCUGAAGAACAAGCCUGAGUGGUACUAUACAAAACAUCCUUUUGGCCAGAUACCUGUCUUGGAGAACAGCCAAUGUCAGCUCAUCUAUGAAUCUGUCAUCGCUUGUGAGUACCUGGAUGAUGUCUACCCAGGAAGGAAGCUGUUUCCCUACGACCCGUAUGAACGCGCUCGCCAGAAGAUGUUGCUGGAGCUAUUCUGUAAGGUCCCACAUUUAACCAAGGAAUGCCUGGUAUUGACGAGAUGCGGGAGAGAGUGUUCGGAUCUGAAGGUCAUCCUGCGUCAGGAGUUCUGCAACCUGGAAGAGAUUCUCGAGUAUCAGAACACCCCCUUCUUUGGUGGAGAUUGUAUAUCCAUGAUUGACUACCUUUUCUGGCCCUGGUUUGAGCGGCUGGAUGUAUACGGACUAGCGGAGUAAGACAUGUGACUACACGAUUGCAAAUCCAAUAAGUGCCAACUGUUGAGAAGCUCUGGGUCCUAGUAACGACCAUGUGGACUGUCUCAUGUUUGUGGAACAAAAUCAGGGCUGGAAGCUGCUCGUUCAGGCUUCCUGGUUCAAAGUGCCCCUGUGUUCUUCUCCCACCGAGUACUGCUCACAUGUGACCUACAUCUCUGUGGAUAAGACCCUGUGUGCAAAGACCUCCCGAGUGCUUCAGGGCCCAGUGUCCCUGUGGAUCCACCGACACUCGAAAUAAUCGGAUGGCUGCACAGCUGAGUCACUCAGCAUGUGCCACACAGCUGAGUCCCACCUCACGUCCCCCAAAUAGGAAUACCCUUUAAAAGCCAGGCUUCAAAAGCAAUUCAUGUGUGGUCUUCAUAUAAACAAAAUGGCAGCCACAUAUCACACAAGUGUCACACUUUGGAGCUUUGUCACCUCAGAGCUCAGAGGUGACACUGUAUGUGUGUGGUGCUUCGGACUCAGAAUCCAGCCAACCAGCAUGCUAGGCAUUUCAGGUGGCUGGAGAGUGAAACAAACGCACAGACAAAUCAUAAGCCUACCUCCUUCCAAGGCUGAGUGGAGAGCGCUCCAUUAGCAAGGGCACCUCUCGUCCUGGCCUCCCGCCCACCAGCUGUCUUCCUUUAGCAUGGCAGCUUGCAGACCCCAGACCUGAUUUCCCCUGUCCAUCUUUGAAAAGGCCUGGGCUUCAAGGUUGUGUUGGUGUUUUUAUUUAUUUUUAAAGUGUUCGGGAAGCUCUUCUCCUUUUCAGAACCCUAAAAGUAAAGUCUACAAAUGUCCUAAGACUGUUUGCUUGAGGUUAUCAGUCAGUCAGCAAUGAAAUAGACACUUAGUUCCCCUGCCAGUCCACAGCAUUUAAUCACCUUCACACAAGCCAUUGUGACAAUGUCAGCAGACGGACACACAGUUCCAACUGUGUGAGCCACACCCCGCUGCUACGGCUCUGGAUAGCCACCAUGAAGCAGGACCCUGCAGUCAGUGCUCUGCUCAUU
Molecule: RNA transcript, 8015 nt
Organism: Psammomys obesus (fat sand rat)
Lineage: Eukaryota; Metazoa; Chordata; Mammalia; Rodentia; Muridae
Gene name: glutathione S-transferase omega-2
Exons: 6
Source: RefSeq, a predicted model, not a curated record